GUCGAGCGAACGGACGAGAAGCUUGCUUCUCUGAUGUUAGCGGCGGACGGGUGAGUAACACGUGGAUAACCUACCUAUAAGACUGGAUAACUUCGGGAAACCGGAGCUAAUACCGGAUAAUAUUUUGAACCGCAUGGUUCAAAAGUGAAAGACGGUCUUGCUGUCACUUAUAGAUGGAUCCGCGCUGCAUUAGCUAGUUGGUAAGGUAACGGCUUACCAAGGCAACGAUGCAUAGCCGACCUGAGAGGGUGAUCGGCCACACUGGAACCUGAGACACGGUCCAGACUCCUACGGGAGGCAGCAGUAGGGAAUCUUCCGCAAUGGGCGAAAGCCUGACGGAGCAACGCCGCGUGAGUGAUGAAGGUCUUCGGAUCGUAAAACUCUGUUAUUAGGGAAGAACAUAUGUGUAAGUAACUGUGCACAUCUUGACGGUACCUAAUCAGAAAGCCACGGCUAACUACGUGCCAGCAGCCGCGGUAAUACGUAGGUGGCAAGCGUUAUCCGGAAUUAUUGGGCGUAAAGCGCGCGUAGGCGGUUUUUUAAGUCUGAUGUGAAAGCCCACGGCUCAACCGUGGAGGGUCAUUGGAAACUGGAAAACUUGAGUGCAGAAGAGGAAAGUGGAAUUCCAUGUGUAGCGGUGAAAUGCGCAGAGAUAUGGAGGAACACCAGUGGCGAAGGCGACU
RNAcentral lists this ribosomal RNA (683 nucleotides) under uncultured Staphylococcus sp. RNAcentral describes it as "bacterial SSU rRNA". It matches the Rfam family "Bacterial small subunit ribosomal RNA", at positions 61 to 726 of the family's 1533-position model. Lineage: Bacteria; Bacillati; Bacillota; Bacilli; Caryophanales; Staphylococcaceae. The record is from RNAcentral.